GAUGAACGCUGGCGGCGUGCCUAAUACAUGCAAGUCGAGCGAACGGACGAGAAGCUUGCUUCUCUGAUGUUAGCGGCGGACGGGUGAGAAACACGUGGAUAACCUACCUAUAAGACUGGGAUAACUUCGGGAAACCGGAGCUAAUACCGGAUAAUAUUUUGAACCGCAUGGUUCAAGAGUGAAAGACGGUCUUGCUGUCACUUAUAGAUGGAUCCGCGCUGCAUUAGCUAGUUGGUAAGGUAACGGCUUACCAAGGCAACGAUGCAUAGCCGACCUGAGAGGGUGAUCGGCCACACUGGAACUGAGACACGGUCCAGACUCCUACGGGAGGCAGCAGUAGGGAAUCUUCCGCAAUGGGCGAAAGCCUGACGGAGCAACGCCGCGUGAGUGAUGAAGGUCUUCGGAUCGUAAAACUCUGUUAUUAGGGAAGAACAUAUGUGUAAGUAACUGUGCACAUCUUGACGGUACCUAAUCAGAAAGCCACGGCUAACUACGUG
RNAcentral lists this ribosomal RNA (497 nucleotides) under uncultured bacterium. RNAcentral's name for it is "partial 16S ribosomal RNA". It matches the Rfam family "Bacterial small subunit ribosomal RNA", at positions 28 to 507 of the family's 1533-position model. The record is from RNAcentral.